AGAUUGAACGCUGGCGGCAGGCCUAACACAUGCAAGUCGAGCGGUAGAGAGGUGCUUGCAUCUCUUGAGAGCGGCGGACGGGUGAGUAAUGCCUAGGAAUCUGCCUAGUGGUGGGGGAUAACGUUCGGAAACGGACGCUAAUACCGCAUACGUCCUACGGGAGAAAGCGGGGGACCUUCGGGCCUCGCGCCAUUAGAUGAGCCUAGGUCGGAUUAGCUAGUUGGUGAGGUAAUGGCUCACCAAGGCGACGAUCCGUAACUGGUCUGAGAGGAUGAUCAGUCACACUGGAACUGAGACACGGUCCAGACUCCUACGGGAGGCAGCAGUGGGGAAUAUUGGACAAUGGGCGAAAGCCUGAUCCAGCCAUGCCGCGUGUGUGAAGAAGGUCUUCGGAUUGUAAAAGCAACUUUUAAGUUGGGAGGAAAGGUUGUAAACCUAAUAACGUUGACAACUUUUGAACGUUUACCGACAGAAAUAAGACAACCCGGCUUAAACGUUCGUUGACCCAGCAAGGCCGA
This 518-nucleotide ribosomal RNA is filed under the name uncultured soil bacterium. RNAcentral describes it as "bacterial SSU rRNA". It matches the Rfam family "Bacterial small subunit ribosomal RNA", at positions 26 to 546 of the family's 1533-position model. The record is from RNAcentral.